RNAcentral lists this ribosomal RNA (127 nucleotides) under Ice core clone 101-6. RNAcentral describes it as "partial 18S ribosomal RNA". It matches the Rfam family "Eukaryotic small subunit ribosomal RNA", at positions 1677 to 1801 of the family's 1831-position model. The record is from RNAcentral.
CGCUACUACCGAUUGAAUGGCUCAGUGAGGCGUUCGGACUGGCUCGAGGAGGUUGGCAACGACCACUCAGAGCCGGAAACUUGGUCAAACUUGGUCAUUUAGAGGAAGUAAAAGUCGUAACAAGGUC